This 251-nucleotide long non-coding RNA is filed under the name Elaeis guineensis (African oil palm). RNAcentral describes it as "long non-coding RNA (EGUI_LNC055400)". The record is from RNAcentral. Lineage: Eukaryota; Viridiplantae; Streptophyta; Magnoliopsida; Arecales; Arecaceae.
CAUCAAAUUAAUCUACUCUAGGAUCUAUGAUAUGUUAUGUUGCAUAUAAAAUCUAAAAUAAUUUGAAGAUAAAAUCAGCAUAUAUGCAUGUGAGCAGUAGAUCAUAUCUACUUCUAAUCUGAGUUCAGAACUCCAUACUUGAUCAUAGGUUGAUGAUCUUCACUAUUAACAGAUAUGAUGAAGAGGAUCCUUGCUGGUUGCUUAUAGCCAUAUACGCAUCCGGUCUCUAUAAAAAAUUCACUCGAAGCCCC